This 209-nucleotide unclassified non-coding RNA is filed under the name soil metagenome. Its description in RNAcentral is "partial contains 5.8S ribosomal RNA, internal transcribed spacer 2, and large subunit ribosomal RNA". The record is from RNAcentral.
AACCUAGCACACCUGCGGUGUGUACCUGCGGAAGGAUCAUUACCGAGUUUACAACUCCCAAACCCCUGUGAACAUACCACUUGUUGCCUCGGCGGAUCAGCCCGCUCCCGGUAAAACGGGACGGCCCGCCAGAGGACCCCUAAACUCUGUUUCUAUAUGUAACUUCUGAGUAAAACCAUAAAUAAAUCAAAACUUUCAGCAAUGGAUCU